RNAcentral lists this long non-coding RNA (921 nucleotides) under Homo sapiens (human). Its description in RNAcentral is "MIR9-3 host gene". The record is from RNAcentral. Lineage: Eukaryota; Metazoa; Chordata; Mammalia; Primates; Hominidae.
GACUUGUUCUUGCCUUCUAAAGCAGAGAGGAGCUUUUGUGGGUAGUUCCUACAGGGAUACAUGGUAGAAAAUUCACCAAACCCAGUGCUGGAGUGUUUCUCUUCCUCAGAAGAAAUCAGAUGCUGUUCAGAGCACGAAGGCUAGAAUUUUACCCUGGUUCUCAUGCUACCUUGCACCCAGGUUGGAUCCUGAGUACAGUUUUUGGCAGGAAGCCCCAGAGAGAUUGGUGAGGGUGAUUUCCCAGGAAGACGCAGUGUGCUCUGACUUCUGUGACAGUGAGCAACGGGACCAGUGGAUGUCCAGAUGCUGGCAAUGAGACAUGCUCUGGAGUCAGAAGACAGCGAAAAGAGAAGCAGAAGCCCCGGUGGCAAGAGUCUGAAGGAAGGAUGACUGUAGCCUGUGGAUUGUACUGCAGUAGGAAACUGUCCUAGCAAGGCUCCACUUUGCCCCAGCUUCAAGCUGGAAAGGAGGAGAACAUGAAACAUUGCUUGAAGACAAUGGCCGAGACAGCAGGUCCCACCCUGCACAGCCACCAGCAUCUCUCCCCUCAGCCCUGUCUCCUCUUCUGCAGUUGGGAUCUGCACAUUUAAGCCUGAAAUUGUCCUGUGAAGUGAAGUAUGAUCGGACAGCCUCUUUUCAGCUUUUAUGACAAUGGAGACAGAGGAAUUGUGGCUCUUGCCAAGGUCACAGGAUUGGAAUACAGAGCCAAGCCACCCCAGGACAUGCAAGAGCCUCAGAAGGGAAAAAAGCCCAGCAGGAAGGGAGAACAAGUAGCCUCUGUCCUGAAGUUGUAACAGCCAGGGGCCAGGAUGGAGGAGGAGGACCCCAUAAUCUGCCCAUCUGGGACUUGGCAGGGGACCUGGGAAAAUGUACCCCAACCCAUCCCUUAAGGGCCUUUGUCUUUGGCCCAUUGGCCUAGCA